Molecule: long non-coding RNA, 1464 nt
Filed under: Triticum aestivum (bread wheat)
Lineage: Eukaryota; Viridiplantae; Streptophyta; Magnoliopsida; Poales; Poaceae
Description: long non-coding RNA (TAES_LNC008485)
Source: RNAcentral
UCCUAGGAUAAUACAUGAAGGGCGAACAAUCUAGCAAGGUAAUGUUCUAUACUUCAUAUUGUCACAUGGCAAUAGCGUCAAGACUGAUUAAAUAUUAGUCUACACAUCAGGCCAUCAUGGUUAGAUUCAGUAUGAUGGGAACCUUUACAAUUCACUUUGAUGAGGCUAAAAUGGAGAUUAUGCAACCUACAGUAAACUUAUUUACUUUUAUGAAGGCAUGCAUAUAGCGAUUUUACUGGAUAUUUUGAGCAAUAAGGAUCCAUGUUGUGUGUAGCCUUCAAACUUUUCUUACAAGUUUUAUGGAAUGAUGGCACUGUUCAUGUAUCAAAAAGCUUAUUCCUCUAUUAAACGUGUCACGACAGUUGGCAUCCUCCAUUUGAUACAAUAUAUAUGUUUCUGUUUCCUUCUUACCAAAGCAUAUGCACUAAUGACCUUAGUGUCACCAUCAUUUUCUUCACCUUUUGUACAGAUCCACCAGGGACGAUUCAUGCCACAUCUGGACGUCAGUUCACUAAACAAAUUAUACCCUCAUGCAUCUAUAUUUCUCUUCCAUUUUUCUAUUGUGCAUGGUUAUACAUUGAGAUGUUAAUAUAGUGAGAUAUAUACUUAUAUAAGGAUGUUCGGUACCUUGCUAUUUUUUCAAUGCUAACCCUGAUUUAUGAGCUUCGACAGGUACACUUUUCUGAACUCUUACUAGCUUUUGUGAUUAGAGUAUUUGGAUUACAUACAUAUUAUUAAGCCUGUUACCGAUUCUCUCUAGCAUUUUGUGAAAUACUUCUUAGUUUGACUUCUCCCGAGGAAACUUGGAAGGGAGAGAGGUUUAGAUGUUCUGUGUUCAGCAGGUUAACUGCACUUACAUGAUAUUGGUAUCUCUAUUCAAUGUCUUUUGAUAAUGAGGAUUGCAGAUUAUUUGCAAUUUCCAAUUCGAUAGUGGGACUUGCAAGUUGGUACCAUUGGCUAUCAACUAAACUGGUAUUGUUUUUGCUCUGGAUGAUAUCUUGGUCACUACAUGCAAAUAUUUUGUAGACAGCAAUUGUCUGUUCAGAGUGUCACUAUAACUUCUGCAUUCUUCUACAGUGACACUUCAUGUUGAGUGCACAUGAUUUAUCACUGCAUGUUCUAUUUGUUUUGCAGGUCACAGAUUAUGCGUACUCUUUUAAAGUCAUUUUCUUAUGCUAAUUCUGCUAAUAGGAUGGUGUUUUUAUUCUGGUAUUCAUGUUAUCAGGAUAUUUAGCUUAUUUCAGUUUGAGGAGAAAUAAGCUAACUGACCAUGUCAUUGUUUAUUAGGACAGUGUACUAUUGACCUCAACUAGAUAUGCAAGAAAUGAUUUAGGACAUGUGAUUUUAUGUAUGGAUUUCCACAACAAGAAACUCUUUCAAUUUCUUCAUUAUAGAUACAAACUAUGAUUUUGAGCUCAGUAAACAACUGAACAUAUUGAUAGUUCAUGAGCAUUUCUCUGAUUG